GAAUCUUCCUCUUCAGUGAAUACAUCCAACAAGAUGAAUUUUAAAACUUUUUCUUCAUCACCUCCUAAGCCUGGAGAUAUCUUUGAGGUUGAACUGGCUAAAAAUGAUAACAGCUUGGGGAUAAGUGUCACGGGAGGUGUGAAUACGAGUGUCAGACAUGGUGGCAUUUAUGUGAAAGCUGUUAUUCCCCAGGGAGCAGCAGAGUCUGAUGGUAGAAUUCACAAAGGUGAUCGCGUCCUAGCUGUCAAUGGAGUUAGUCUAGAAGGAGCCACCCAUAAGCAAGCUGUGGAAACACUGAGAAAUACAGGACAGGUGGUUCAUCUGUUAUUAGAAAAGGGACAAUCUCCAACAUCUAAAGAACAUGUCCCGGUAACCCCACAGUGUACCCUUUCAGAUCAGAAUGCCCAAGGUCAAGGCCCAGAAAAAGUGAAGAAAACAACUCAGGUCAAAGACUACAGCUUUGUCACUGAAG
This 472-nucleotide non-coding RNA is filed under the name Homo sapiens (human). Lineage: Eukaryota; Metazoa; Chordata; Mammalia; Primates; Hominidae. The record is from RNAcentral.